CAGUAGCCGCGGUAAAACGAAGGGUGCAAGCGUUAAUCGGAAUUACUGGGCGUAAAGCGUGCGUAGGCGGUGAGUUAAGUCUGCUGUGAAAUCCCCGGGCUCAACCUGGGAAUGGCAGUGGAUACUGGCUCGCUAGAGUGUGUCAGAGGAUGGUGGAAUUCCCGGUGUAGCGGUGAAAUGCGUAGAGAUCGGGAGGAACAUCAGUGGCGAAGGCGGCCAUCUGGGACAACACUGACGCUGAGGCACGAGAGCGUGGGGAGCAAACAGGAUUAGAUACCCCCGUAGUCCCUGUCUCUUAUAC
This 301-nucleotide ribosomal RNA is filed under the name uncultured bacterium. Its description in RNAcentral is "partial 16S ribosomal RNA". It matches the Rfam family "Bacterial small subunit ribosomal RNA", at positions 509 to 807 of the family's 1533-position model. The record is from RNAcentral.